GACGAACGCUGGCGGCGUGCCUAACACAUGCAAGUCGAACGGAACUGUUUUGAAAGAUUUCUUCGGAAUGAAUUUGAUUUAGUUUAGUGGCGGACGGGUUAGUAACUCGUGAGUAACCUGCCUUCAAGAGGGGAAUAACAUUCUGAAAAGAAUGCUAAUACCGCAUGACAUAUCGGAACCACAUGGUUUUGAUAUCAAAGAUUUUAUCGCUUGAAGAUGGACUCGCGUCCGAUUAGUUAGUUGGUGAGGUAACGGCUCACCAAGACCGCGAUCGGUAGCCGGACUGAGAGGUUGAACGGCCACAUUGGGACUGAGACACGGCCCAGACUCCUACGGGAGGCAGCAGUGGGGGAUAUUGCGCAAUGGGGGCAAACCUGACGCAGCAACGCCGCGUGAAGGAUGAAGGUUUUCGGAUUGUAACCUUCUUUUAUUAAGGACGAAAAAUGACGGUACUUAAUGAAUAAGCUCCGGCUAACUACGUG
RNAcentral lists this ribosomal RNA (482 nucleotides) under uncultured bacterium. RNAcentral's name for it is "partial 16S ribosomal RNA". It matches the Rfam family "Bacterial small subunit ribosomal RNA", at positions 28 to 507 of the family's 1533-position model. The record is from RNAcentral.